AUUGAACGCUGGCGGCAGGCCUAACACAUGCCGGUCGAGCGGAUGAAGGGAGCUUGCUCCUGGAUUCAGCGGCGGACGGGUGAGUAAUGCCUAGGAAUCUGCCUGGUAGUGGGGGAUAACGUCCGGAAACGGGCGCUAAUACCGCAUACGUCCUGAGGGAGAAAGUGGGGGAUCUUCGGACCUCACGCUAUCAGAUGAGCCUAGGUCGGAUUAGCUAGUUGGUGGGGUAAAGGCCUACCAAGGCGACGAUCCGUAACUGGUCUGAGAGGAUGAUCAGUCACACUGGAACUGAGACACGGUCCAGACUCCUACGGGAGGCAGCAGUGGGGAAUAUUGGACAAUGGGCGAAAGCCUGAUCCAGCCAUGCCGCGUGUGUGAAGAAGGUCUUCAGAUUGUAAAGCACUUUAAGUUGGGAGGAAGGGCAGUAAGUUAAUACCUUGCUGUUUUGACGUUACCAACAGAAUAAGCACCGGCUAACUUCGUG
RNAcentral lists this ribosomal RNA (484 nucleotides) under uncultured bacterium. RNAcentral describes it as "partial 16S ribosomal RNA". It matches the Rfam family "Bacterial small subunit ribosomal RNA", at positions 30 to 507 of the family's 1533-position model. The record is from RNAcentral.